Molecule: ribosomal RNA, 394 nt
Filed under: uncultured bacterium
Lineage: Bacteria
Description: bacterial SSU rRNA
Rfam family: Bacterial small subunit ribosomal RNA
Source: RNAcentral
GAACGCUGGCGGCGUGCUUAACACAUGCAAGUCGAGCGGUAAGGCCCUUUCGGGGGUACACGAGCGGCGAACGGGUGAGUAACACGUGGGUGACCUGCCCUCAGCUCUGGGAUAAGCCUGGGAAACCGGGUCUAAUACUGGAUAUGACUCCAUGACGCAUGUUGUGGGGUGGAAAGCCUUGUGCGGCUGAGGAUGGGCCCGCGGCCUAUCAGCUUGUUGGUGGGGUGANGGCCUACCAAGGCGACGACGGGUAGCCGGCCUGAGAGGGCGACCGGCCACACUGGGACUGAGACACGGCCCAGACUCCUACGGGAGGCAGCAGUGGGGAAUCUUGCGCAAUGGGCGAAAGCCUGACGCAGCGACGCCGCGUGAGGGAUGACGGCCUCGGUGUAAC